RNAcentral lists this ribosomal RNA (253 nucleotides) under uncultured bacterium. Its description in RNAcentral is "partial 16S ribosomal RNA". It matches the Rfam family "Bacterial small subunit ribosomal RNA", at positions 524 to 776 of the family's 1533-position model. The record is from RNAcentral.
UACGUAGGUGGCAAGCGUUGUCCGGAUUUAUUGGGCGUAAAGCGCGCGCAGGCGGUGAGGUAAGUCCGUCGUGAAAUCUCCCGGCUCAGCUGGGAGGGUGCGGGGGAGACUGCCUGACUGGAGGCACUCAGAGGCCGGUGGAAUUCCCGGUGGAGUGGUGAAAUGCGUAGAGAUCCGGAGGAACACCAGUGGCGAAGGCGGCUCGCUGGGCUCUACCUGACGCUGAGGCGCGAAAGCGUGGGGAGCGAACCGG